AUCUUUCUAGUAUUAAAACUAGUACAUAUGACUUCCAAUCAUCUAGUCUUGGUUAAACUCCAAGGAAAGAUA
Molecule: transfer RNA, 72 nt
Filed under: Cynoglossus abbreviatus (three-lined tongue sole)
Lineage: Eukaryota; Metazoa; Chordata; Actinopteri; Pleuronectiformes; Cynoglossidae
Description: tRNA-Gly
Rfam family: tRNA
About the family: Transfer RNA (tRNA) molecules are approximately 80 nucleotides in length.
Source: RNAcentral